Molecule: ribosomal RNA, 643 nt
Filed under: uncultured Verrucomicrobiota bacterium
Lineage: Bacteria; Pseudomonadati; Verrucomicrobiota
Description: bacterial SSU rRNA
Rfam family: Bacterial small subunit ribosomal RNA
Source: RNAcentral
UGGCGGCGUGGAUAAGACAUGCAAGUCGAACGGGGCUGGUUUGGUAGCAAUACCGGGCUAGCUUAGUGGCGAACGGGUGCGUAACACGUGACCAACUUUCCCAAAAGUGGGGAAUAGCUCGCCGAAAGGCGGAUUAAUACCGCAUGUACCUCGAAGCAAUUUGAGGCAAAGCAGCAAUGCGCUUUUGGAUGGGGUCGCGGCCUAUCAGCUAGUUGGUGGGGUAAAGGCUCACCAAGGCAUCGACGGGUAGCUGGUCUGAGAGGACGACCAGCCACACUGGAACUGAGACACGGUCCAGACACCUACGGGUGGCAGCAGUCGAGAAUUUUUCUCAAUGGGGGAAACCCUGAAGGAGCGACGCCGCGUGGAGGAUGAAGGCUUUCGGGUUGUAAACUCCUGUCAUUUGGGAACAAAGUCCGCCUCUGGCGGAUGUGAUAGUACCAGAAGAGGAAGAGACGGCUAACUCUGUGCCAGCAGCCGCGGUAAUACAGAGGUCUCGAGCGUUGUUCGGAUUCAUUGGGCGUAAAGGGCGCGUAGGCUGCGGGGUAAGUCAGGUGUGAAAUCUCAGAGCUCAACUCUGAAAUUGCACUUGAUACUGCUCUGCUAGAGGACUGGAGAGGAGAUUGGAAUUCACGGUGUAGCA